CACGGCUGAGCUAAAGGGCAGGCGGUGAACGCAGCACACUCCCUGUUCGCCGACUGAAAUGAGACGGGAAGAGUCUACAUAGACCAGAAUGCCCUGAAAAAGAACGAGUGAAGAGAGAGAGAGUACAUCUUUGUAACAUAUUUGCCCAAAAGCUGCUCGGGCUCAUUUCCUCGUUAGCCCCUGGUCCCUGCCCUGGCCUGAAGUCAUCGCUCAGUUAGGCAGCUGCCAGGCCGGCCCUGAGGGUCCCCAGUGUGUUUUCCAGCAUUUCCCCUUGUCUCUCUGGCCAACUAAGUUUAUGCAGAGGACAAAUGUGAGUAACACAGCGUCCCAACCACCUUCCCCUGAGGAUCACGGGUGUCGUGACCCUGCAGCAGGUACCACUGAUGUCAUUGCCCAGUCGCUGUCCCACUUUCCCAGAUUUCCAUCCAC
Molecule: long non-coding RNA, 429 nt
Organism: Cyprinus carpio carpio
Lineage: Eukaryota; Metazoa; Chordata; Actinopteri; Cypriniformes; Cyprinidae
Source: Ensembl